GUACACUCCUGCGGGAGGCAGCAGUGGGGAAUUUUGGACAAUGGGCGAAAGCCUGAUCCAGCCAUGCCGCGUGCAGGAUGAAGGCCUUCGGGUUGUAAACUGCUUUUGUACGGAACGAAACGGCCUUUUCUAAUAAAGAGGGCUAAUGACGGUACCGUAAGAAUAAGCACCGGCUAACUACGUGCCAGCAGCCGCGGUAAUACGUAGGGUGCAAGCGUUAAUCGGAAUUACUGGGCGUAAAGCGUGCGCAGGCUGUUAUGUAAGACAGGUGUGAAAUCCCCGGGCUCAACCUGGGAAGUGCAUCUGUGGCUGCAUAGCUAGAGUACGGUAGAGGGGGAUGGAAUUCCGCGUGUAGCAGUGAAAUGCGUAGAUAUGCGGAGGAACACCGAUGGCGAAGGCAAUCCCCUGGACCUGUACUGACGCUCAUGCACGAAAGCGUGGGGAGCAAACAGGAUUAGAUACCCCAGUAGUCCCA
This 475-nucleotide ribosomal RNA is filed under the name uncultured organism. Its description in RNAcentral is "partial 16S ribosomal RNA". It matches the Rfam family "Bacterial small subunit ribosomal RNA", at positions 331 to 797 of the family's 1533-position model. The record is from RNAcentral.